GUCAUAGAUUAAGCCAUGCAAGUGUUAGUUCAGGUAACGAAACUGCGAAUAGCUCAUUAAUACGCUCAGAAUCUAUUUGGCGGCGACCAACAGGUCUUAAAUGGAUAGCAGCAGCAACUCUGGUGCUAAUACAUGCGAUUGUUUCUCCAGAUGUGAAUUAUGGAGGAAAAGUUGACCUCAUCAGAGGCACGCCAUUCGACUGAGUGACCUAUCAGCUUGUACUUAGGGUCUUUACCUAGGUAGGCUAUCACGGGUAACGGGCGGUUACCGUCGGACUGCCGGAGAAGGCGCCUGAGAGAUAGCGACUAUAUCCACGGGUAGCAGCAGGCGCGAAACUUUCCCACUCGAGACUUUCGGAGGAGGUAAUGACCAGUUCCAUUGGUGCCUUUUGGUACUGUGGAUAGGGGUACGGUUUUCCACCGUACCGAAACCUAGCAGAGGGCCAGUCUGGUGCCAGCAGCUGCGGUAAUUCCAGCUCUGCGAGUUUGCUCCCAUAUUGUUGCAGUUAAAACGCCCGUAGUCUGAAUUGGCCAGCAAUGGUCGUACGUAUUUUUACGUUCACUGUGAACAAAUCAGGACGCUUAGAGUAUGGCCACAUGAAUGACUCAGCGCAGUAUGAAGUCUUUGUUUUCUUCCGAAAACAAGCUCAAUGAGAGCCAUCGGGGGUAGAUCUAUCUCAUGACGAGUGGUGGAAUACUUUGACUCAUGAGAGAGAAGCUGAGGCGAAGGCGUCUACCUAGAGGGUUUCUGUCGAUCAAGGGCGAGAGUAGGAGUAUCCAACAGGAUUAGAGACCCUGGUAGUUCCUACCUUAAACGAUGCCGACAGGAGUUUGUCAUUUGUUAAUGGCAGAAUCUUUGGAGAAUCAUAGUUCUUGGGCUCUGGGGGAACUACGACCGCAAGCUGAACUAG
This 910-nucleotide ribosomal RNA is filed under the name Trichomonas vaginalis. RNAcentral describes it as "SSU rRNA". It matches the Rfam family "Eukaryotic small subunit ribosomal RNA", at positions 36 to 1146 of the family's 1831-position model. Lineage: Eukaryota; Parabasalia; Trichomonadida; Trichomonadidae. The record is from RNAcentral.